Molecule: long non-coding RNA, 517 nt
Filed under: Homo sapiens (human)
Lineage: Eukaryota; Metazoa; Chordata; Mammalia; Primates; Hominidae
Description: HSALNT0302417
Source: RNAcentral
GAAGACAGAAACAACAGCCACAGAGCUAAAAAGGAGAAGCAAGUGAGUCUCCAAAACUAAGUGAAAAAGAUGUGUUUUGAAGAAAAGGGAGUGAGCAACUGUGUUGAGUGCUGAAGACAGGUCAAGUAUAAAGAGGGCUGAGAUUGGACCACUGGAUUUGGCAGCAUGGAGGUACCUGAUGCCACCAAUUCCUGAGUUUUUCUGCUGUUCAGUGGAGUGGACUAUCGCCUUCAAAUUAGCCUGGCCCUGGGCAGGAAAUGAAGACCCUGAAUCAGCCCAUCAGAAGCAGGAGAUCCCUUUCGUCGACCUUCUCAUUCCAUCUCUAUGCUGGAGCAUUCUUGUGACCUAACCAUAUUGAAACUGCCUUUGCAAAAUAUGACUGAGACAGUGAAAGAGGUAUAACUUCACCAAUUCCAUCUUGGUUCUAACCUCCAAGCUCUCCUUGAUCAUUCCUAGGCAUAGGCUGAACUAACUUUGGGAGAAACUUAGUUUAUAGUUUACAAUUUAAAACAGACAU